GAGUUUGAUCCUGGCUCAGGAUGAACGCUGGCGGCGUGCUUAACACAUGCAAGUCGAACGAAGCACCCCAUCCGAAAGCGGAAGCAGCUUGCUGCGGAAGAUUUCACCCGGGGUGACUGAGUGGCGGACGGGUGAGUAACGCGUGGGUAACCUGCCCCAUAGAGGGGGACAACAGUUGGAAACGACUGCUAAUACCGCAUAGUAAGGAACUGCCGCAUGACGGUUUCUUGAAAGAUUUAUCGCUAUGGGAUGGACCCGCGUCUGAUUAGCUAGUUGGUAAGGUAACGGCUUACCAAGGCGACGAUCAGUAGCCGGCUUGAGAGAGUGAACGGCCACAUUGGGACUGAGACACGGCCCAAACUCCUACGGGAGGCAGCAGUGGGGAAUAUUGCACAAUGGGGGAAACCCUGAUGCAGCGACGCCGCGUGAGUGAAGAAGUAUUUCGGUAUGUAAAGCUCUAUCAGCAGGGAAGAUAAUGACGGUACCUGACUAAGAAGCCCCGGCUAACUACGUGCCAGCAGCCGCGGUAAUACGUAGGGGGCAAGCGUUAUCCGGAUUUACUGGGUGUAAAGGGUGCGCAGGUGGCAGGGCAAGUCAGAUGUGAAAGCCCGGGGCUCAACCCCGGUAUUGCAUUUGAAACUGUCCGGCUAGAGUGCAGGAGAGGUAAGCGGAAUUCCUAGUGUAGCGGUGAAAUGCGUAGAUAUUAGGAGGGACACCAGUGGCGAAGGCGGCUUACUGGACUGUAACUG
This 749-nucleotide ribosomal RNA is filed under the name uncultured bacterium. RNAcentral's name for it is "bacterial SSU rRNA". It matches the Rfam family "Bacterial small subunit ribosomal RNA", at positions 9 to 742 of the family's 1533-position model. The record is from RNAcentral.